UUACAUAACGAGGGUCUCGAAUCUGGCAACAUUGAUGCCUUCAGGUAGCAUGUGUGGGUUUAUUGACCAGUUGCCUUCACCCAAAAAGAUCACGUUCUCGUGACGCCUGCGGCAAAAAGGACGUUCCACGUCCGCCGUCAAGGUCAGUGAGUGGUGGCGCUGGCUAACACUCCCAGGGUUCUACUAGGACACAUAAAUACCCAAGAAAGUGGAUGGGGAAACAGCGCCGCGGUAUCUCAAUUGGUAGAGCAUCGCACGCGAAAUGCGAAGGUUGUGGGUUCGGUUCCCACCUGCGGCAAGUUGUUUUUUCAUCCACUUUAAUUUCCAUUAUUUAUCAUUUCUUCAUUUCAUUUAUUAAGCACAAGUAAU
This 369-nucleotide long non-coding RNA is filed under the name Dermacentor andersoni. RNAcentral describes it as "uncharacterized LOC126546321". The stretch from base 226 to 298 matches the Rfam family "tRNA". Lineage: Eukaryota; Metazoa; Arthropoda; Arachnida; Ixodida; Ixodidae. The record is from RNAcentral.